Molecule: unclassified non-coding RNA, 146 nt
Filed under: uncultured Hypocreales
Lineage: Eukaryota; Fungi; Ascomycota; Sordariomycetes; Hypocreales
Description: sequence contains ITS2
Source: RNAcentral
CUACCCUCAAGCCCUGCUUGGUGUUGGCGGAUUGCCCACUGUGGCAACUGCUGAAAAUGAAUGGCGGUAGCACACUUGUCCCUGUAGAGUAAUUAUCCUUACAGCGUUCUAGUGGACGAACCAGCCCAAACCCAAAGAAAUAGCAA